UUGCAGUAUGGAAAAGAAUAUGAAUUCGACGCACCUGUCAAGCUAUUGGAGAAGCAUCUUCAUGCAAUGGCUCAAUCCGUGGACGAGCAGCUUGUUGUAGUUUCGCAGGUUCUUGUAUCUGACAUUAACAUUGGUUACGAAGAGAUUGUCAACACCCAGGUUGUCGCCUUUAAUGGCAAACC
Molecule: non-coding RNA, 182 nt
Organism: Camelina sativa (false flax)
Lineage: Eukaryota; Viridiplantae; Streptophyta; Magnoliopsida; Brassicales; Brassicaceae
Source: RefSeq, a predicted model, not a curated record